RNAcentral lists this ribosomal RNA (399 nucleotides) under uncultured bacterium. Its description in RNAcentral is "bacterial SSU rRNA". It matches the Rfam family "Bacterial small subunit ribosomal RNA", at positions 356 to 773 of the family's 1533-position model. The record is from RNAcentral.
GGGGAAUAUUGCACAAUGGAGGAAACUCUGAUGCAGCAACGCCGCGUGAGUGAUGAAGGUCUUCGGAUUGUAAAGCUCUGUCUUCUGGGACGAUAAUGACGGUACCAGAGGAGGAAGCCACGGCUAACUACGUGCCAGCAGCCGCGGUAAUACGUAGGGGGCUAGCGUUAUCCGGAUUUACUGGGCGUAAAGGGUGCGUAGGCGGUCUUUCAAGUCAGAAGUGAAAGGCUACGGCUCAACCGUAGUAAGCUCUUGAAACUGUAAGACUUGAGUGCGGGAGAGGAGAGUGGAAUUCCUAGUGUAGCGGUGAAAUGCGUAGAUAUUAGGAGGAACACCAGUUGCGAAGGCGGCUCUCUGGACUGUAACUGACGCUGAGGCACGAAAGCGUGGGGAGCAAAC